This 327-nucleotide unclassified non-coding RNA is filed under the name Coprinopsis cineraria. Its description in RNAcentral is "partial internal transcribed spacer region". The stretch from base 1 to 46 matches the Rfam family "Eukaryotic small subunit ribosomal RNA", at positions 1786 to 1831 of the family's 1831-position model. Lineage: Eukaryota; Fungi; Basidiomycota; Agaricomycetes; Agaricales; Psathyrellaceae. The record is from RNAcentral.
AAGUCGUAACAAGGUUUCCGUAGGUGAACCUGCGGAAGGAUCAUUAUUGAAUAAAUCUGAUGUGGUUGUAGCUGGCUGCCCUUGGUAGCACUGUGCACACCCGUCACCUUUAUCUUUCCACCUGUGCACAAAAUGUAGUUCUGGAUCUCCCUCGCUGAAAAGCGGAUACAGAAGUUGCUGUUUGCUAUCUAAAUAUGAUGGCCAGCUCCCUCUGAAUUUCCAGGUCUACGCUUUUUAUAUACCCCAAAUGAAUGUUAUGGAAUGUAUUCGUUGGGCUUAUGCCUAUAAAAAUCUAUACAACUUUCAGCAACGGAUCUCUUGGCUCUC